This 70-nucleotide transfer RNA is filed under the name Dipodomys ordii (Ord's kangaroo rat). It matches the Rfam family "tRNA". From Rfam's summary of the family: Transfer RNA (tRNA) molecules are approximately 80 nucleotides in length. Their secondary structure includes four short double-helical elements and three loops (D, anti-codon, and T loops). Further hydrogen bonds mediate the characteristic L-shaped molecular structure. tRNAs have two regions of fundamental functional importance: the anti-codon, which is responsible for specific mRNA codon recognition, and the 3' end, to which the tRNAs corresponding amino acid is attached (by aminoacyl-tRNA synthetases). tRNAs cope with the degeneracy of the genetic code in two manners: having more than one tRNA (with a specific anti-codon) for a particular amino acid; and 'wobble' base-pairing, i.e. permitting non-standard base-pairing at the 3rd anti-codon position. The record is from Rfam by way of RNAcentral. Lineage: Eukaryota; Metazoa; Chordata; Mammalia; Rodentia; Heteromyidae.
GGUAAGUUGGCUCAGUGGUAGAGUGCUUGCCUCACAUGCAUGAGGCUCUGGGUUCGAUUCCUCAGCACCA